AACGCAAAUGGCGACAGCGCGAGCUGUCAUGUUCGUUUCAGUGUGUUUGGUUACCUACAUCAAAGAUCCAAAUGCGAUUGAAGUAAUUCUCUCGCCGAAUCCGGGGACGCUUGGCGCCGACCAUUAAGCGAAGUAGUCACUACACAAGUGAUGUCGCAUUAACCGGUCGAACGCCUAUAAGAGCGACUCACCAAAUACAUAUCCUCAAUACAACACCUGAAAUGAGCAAGAUUACCCGCUGAACUUAA
Molecule: unclassified non-coding RNA, 248 nt
Filed under: uncultured fungus
Lineage: Eukaryota; Fungi
Description: partial contains 5.8S ribosomal RNA, internal transcribed spacer 2, and large subunit ribosomal RNA
Source: RNAcentral